This 513-nucleotide long non-coding RNA is filed under the name Anas platyrhynchos platyrhynchos (common mallard). RNAcentral describes it as "lncRNA (ENSAPLG00000020580.1)". The record is from RNAcentral. Lineage: Eukaryota; Metazoa; Chordata; Aves; Anseriformes; Anatidae.
AUAAAUUGUUAUAAUAUACUGCAGUUUUGUGUAGCGUCAUGAAUGCAGGUUGCGUUUCCUGAAAGGGGUUUUAUAUUGCAUUUGAGGUCCUUAUAGAUAUUUUAAAGUAAAACAAAAUACACCUUUUGGUUCACAUUUUAAUUUUGAUAAUAAAAAGAGUAGGGAAUCAAUAAUGUCCAGGCAAUAGUGAACUGUAUUUAGUGACAAUUAUUUGUCAUGUCAGGGGAAGUCUGCAAUCAGUAGCUCAUUUGGACUUGGCUGAGAGGGCCAUGGUAUUGCUUUAAGUCCUUUCCUGUAUUUAUCAAUAUCGGCUGUGUUAGGGCUCCUUCCUGCACCUCCAUCCUCCAUAGGAUCACAUCCCUGCAGCCUACAGAGAAAAUAAAAUCAUACCAGAAGGAAAAUUAUGAAAACCAAGUACUGCUGUGGCUGUGAACAGAUCCACUCAACCUCCAACAGUGAGAAUGAGUUACUUAUGAUCUAAAGAUUUCAUUUCUCAGGAUACUGUGUUCUCUA